AGAAGGGAGCUCCGUUGAAGUAGUUUGCGCCUUAUAAAUAUUUACUGAUUAAAACAAAAAGGAAAAUUUAAGGACAUCCAGGCGAUUUGAAUUCAAUAAAAUUUUGAUGCUAUU
Neofelis nebulosa (Clouded leopard) is the source of this 114-nucleotide long non-coding RNA. RefSeq lists it as uncharacterized. The transcript has 2 exons. Lineage: Eukaryota; Metazoa; Chordata; Mammalia; Carnivora; Felidae. The record is from RefSeq and is a predicted model, not a curated record.